RNAcentral lists this ribosomal RNA (301 nucleotides) under uncultured bacterium. RNAcentral describes it as "partial 16S ribosomal RNA". It matches the Rfam family "Bacterial small subunit ribosomal RNA", at positions 509 to 807 of the family's 1533-position model. The record is from RNAcentral.
CAGUCGCCGCGGGAAUACCGAGGGUGCAAGCGUUAAUCGGAAUUACUGGGCGUAAAGCGUGCGCAGGCGGUUAUAUAAGACAGAUGUGAAAUCCCCGGGCUCAACCUGGGAACUGCAUUUGUGACUGUAUAGCUAGAGUACGGCAGAGGGGGAUGGAAUUCCGCGUGUAGCAGUGAAAUGCGUAGAUAUGCGGAGGAACACCGAUGGCGAAGGCAAUCCCCUGGGCCUGUACUGACGCUCAUGCACGAAAGCGUGGGGAGCAAACAGGAUUAGAUACCCCCGUAGUCCCUGUCUCUUAUAC